This 724-nucleotide ribosomal RNA is filed under the name uncultured Roseibacillus sp. RNAcentral describes it as "bacterial SSU rRNA". It matches the Rfam family "Bacterial small subunit ribosomal RNA", at positions 94 to 817 of the family's 1533-position model. Lineage: Bacteria; Pseudomonadati; Verrucomicrobiota; Verrucomicrobiia; Verrucomicrobiales; Verrucomicrobiaceae. The record is from RNAcentral.
AGUGGCGAACGGGUGCGUAACACGUGAGUAACCUGCCCGGAAGACGGGAAUAACCCGGGGAAACCCGGACUAAUACCUGAUGUGAUCGAAGGAUUAAGCGGCGGCUUCGGCUGCCGCUUCCGGAUGGGCUCGCGGCCUAUCAGCUAGUUGGCGGGGUAAUGGCCCACCAAGGCGACGACGGGUAACUGGUCUGAGAGGAUGAUCAGUCACACUGGAACUGAGACACGGUCCAGACACCUACGGGUGGCAGCAGUCGAGAAUCAUUCACAAUGGGCGAAAGCCUGAUGGUGUGACGCCGCGUGGAGGAUGACGGUCUUCGGAUUGUAAACUCCUGUCAUCAGGGAGUAAAGCUCUGACGUUAAUAGCGUCAUGAGCCUGAUAGUACCUGAAGAGGAAGGGGCGGCUAACUCUGUGCCAGCAGCCGCGGUAAUACAGAGGCCCCAAGCGUUGUUCGGAUUUACUGGGCGUAAAGAGUACGUAGGCGGCGAGGUAAGUCAGAUGUGAAAGCCCGGGGCUCAACCCCGGAAUUGCAUCCGAUACUGCCUUGCUCGAGGAUUGGAGAGGAGACUGGAAUUCAUGGUGUAGCAGUGAAAUGCGUAGAUAUCAUGAGGAAGACCAAUGGCGAAGGCAGGUCUCUGGACAAUUCCUGACGCUGAGGUACGAAGGCUGGGGGAGCAAAAAGGAUUAGAUACCCUUGUAGUCCCAGCAGUAAACGGUGCGCGCU